This is a long non-coding RNA of Aedes albopictus (Asian tiger mosquito), 1005 nucleotides long. RefSeq lists it as uncharacterized. NCBI's taxonomy places the organism in Eukaryota, Metazoa, Arthropoda, Insecta, Diptera, Culicidae. The record is from RefSeq and is a predicted model, not a curated record. The transcript has 2 exons.
AUUGGAUUGCAUUACAAGGACCCAUGGUUUGCCAUGUAACAAACUUCCAAUACCAAACAGGUAAAUUGAAAACUUGUCCACUCACCACUGUACCUAGAGAGUGUCCAGCGAAUGUAGAGAAAAGAGGAAUCUUUCUUCUGGGAAACUUCUACACUGUGUCUUCGGUUGGAUGCUUAAGUGUCAACAAUAAGAAACACCUAAAAUCGGAUAUUGACCAUUACGUUACACACAUCAAAGCACCGAACAGCAAGCUUUCUUUGUCAAGUGACACACUGUCUUACCUACAAACAUAUAAACUGGUUUAAAUAACAACGAACUCAUUUGAUAAUUAAAACAAAAAUUUAUUUAAAAGUGCUACAAAUCGUGAUUUUGUUAUUAUUGCACAAAACUACAUCAAUCUGUCUUAACUGGCGCGUUCGCUCUAGCAUAUCCGUAGCUUUUACUAUUAUACAUUUCUGAGUAUAUAUCCGACAUUCGACCACUCAAUAACAUACCAGGCCUAAACCAACAUUAUUCAGGAAACACACAUUUGGUAAUAAAUCGAUUGCUUUCCCUUCGAUAAAGUUAGGCCAGCUUUGCUAACUGAGUAAUGUUUGGGUUUACCUCGUCAGCGCUUCAUUGAACGUUCUCUACUGGUGGUAACCAAAUGAUCAGGAACAGCGGCAGCAGGGCCCCCAUUUCCACUCUGCUGCUGGAAGCGGUCUCCAGAGAUUUGAAUGUUGUGUAUGCCGGUUCAGUGGUCUCCGUGCCCGGUGUUGUGCUCACUUCGUCAGCUGCGGCGGAAACUAUCGAUUGGAUUGUGACAGUUGGUGGCAUUCUGAUUGUGCGUCUGGAAAUCCUCUCUCGGUGGAGCUACCCGAUCCACCAACAUCAUUAAUGCGAAUCCCAGCACCAGCAGACCUAUCGUAGACUAGUGUCCAUCCGCAUAAUGCUUUGGUCUUCUCCAGUUUGCUCGAACAGAAAUCGAUUUCCUGCCAGAAUGAUGACCGUGGCUACCAGCGGUGG